RNAcentral lists this small nucleolar RNA (179 nucleotides) under Echinops telfairi (small Madagascar hedgehog). RNAcentral's name for it is "Small nucleolar RNA SNORA81 (ENSETEG00000026513.1)". The record is from RNAcentral. Lineage: Eukaryota; Metazoa; Chordata; Mammalia; Afrosoricida; Tenrecidae.
GACUGCAGCUAGAAAGCCUCGAGGGAAUUGCAGAAGCCGGACCGCGUCUGGCUUUCUCUAAUCAUGCUGGCAGAGUGUGCACAAGCAAGUAAAAAUGCAUGACCUCUGCAUGGAGGGACUGGGAUAGACCGCUUUCGUUUUCUUUUUUAAUCAUUUCAUUAGAGGCUCAUACAACUCCU